GACGAACCGUGCGAACGUUGUUCGGAAUCACUGGGCUUAAAGGGCGCGUAGGCGGUUCGCCAAGUCUGGGGUGAAAUCUUUCGGCUUAACCGGAAAAUUGCCUUGGAUACUGGCGGACUCGAAGGAGGUAGGGGCAGUGGGAACUUCCGGUGGAGCGGUGAAAUGCGUUGAUAUCGGAAGGAACGCCGGUGGCGAAAGCGCACUGCUGGAUCUCCCUUGACGCUGAGGCGCGAAAGCUAGGGGAGCAAACGGG
RNAcentral lists this ribosomal RNA (253 nucleotides) under uncultured bacterium. RNAcentral describes it as "partial 16S ribosomal RNA". It matches the Rfam family "Bacterial small subunit ribosomal RNA", at positions 524 to 776 of the family's 1533-position model. The record is from RNAcentral.